This 253-nucleotide ribosomal RNA is filed under the name uncultured bacterium. RNAcentral's name for it is "partial 16S ribosomal RNA". It matches the Rfam family "Bacterial small subunit ribosomal RNA", at positions 524 to 776 of the family's 1533-position model. The record is from RNAcentral.
UACGGGGGGGGCAAGCGUUGUUCGGAAUUACUGGGCGUAAAGGGCUCGUAGGCGGCCAACUAAGUCAGACGUGAAAUCCCUCGGCUUAACCGGGGAACUGCGUCUGAUACUGGAUGGCUUGAGUUCGGGAGAGGGAUGCGGAAUUCCAGGUGUAGCGGUGAAAUGCGUAGAUAUCAAGAGGAACACCUGCGGCGAAGGCGGGUUGCUGGGCCGACACUGACGCUGAGGCGCGAAAGCCAGGGGAGCGAACGGG